Non-coding RNA from Rhea pennata, 531 nucleotides. NCBI's taxonomy places the organism in Eukaryota, Metazoa, Chordata, Aves, Rheiformes, Rheidae. The record is from the annotation of a RefSeq genome assembly.
GGGCUGCAGCCAAGGCUGCGGGCGGACGCGCAGCUGAGCGAGGACGGAGGGGGCCUCCAGCCGCCCGGCGGGAGCCUCCGCCUCUCCUGCAAGGGAACCGAGUUCACCUUCAGCAGCUUCCAGAUGGUUUGGGUCCAGCAAGUGACUGGGAAGAGGCCCGAGUGGGUUGCAGAAAUUGGCAGCAGUGGUAGUAGCACAUACUACGCGUCUGCGGUGCAAGGGCGCUUCACCAUCUCCCGGGACAACGCGCAGAGCACGCUCUACCUGCAGAUGAACAGCCUCAAGUCCGAGGACACCGGCACCUACUACUGCGCGAAAGCUGCUGGUAGUGGUUAUGGUGGUGGAGACCUUGUAGCAGUCACUGCUGCCAUUCAGAGGCACCCAGACAGCCCAGAGAGAUGGGCAAAGAGGAAGCUCAUGAAGUUCAGCACAGGGAAGUACAAGCGAGGACAUCUAGGGAGGACUCACCCCACGCACCAGUACAGACUGGGGGCAGAACUGACAGAAAGCAGCUCUGUGGAGAAGGACUGA